AUUGAACGCUGGCGGCAUGCCUUACACAUGCAAGUCGAACGGCAGCACGGGGGCAACCCUGGUGGCGAGUGGCGAACGGGUGAGUAACAUAUCGGAACGUGCCCUGGAGUGGGGGAGUAACUAGUCGAAAGACUAGCUAAUACCGCAUACGAUCUACGGAUGAAAGUGGGGAUCGCAAGACCUCAUGCUCGUGGAGCGGCCGAUAUCUGAUUAGCAGUUGGUGGGGUAAAGGCCUACCAAGGCAUCGAUCAGUAGCUGGUCUGAGAGGACGACCAGCCACACUGGGACUGAGACACGGCCCAGACUCCUACGGGAGGCAGCAGUGGGGAAUUUUGGACAAUGGGCGCAAGCCUGAUCCAGCAAUGCCGCGUGAGUGAAGAA
Molecule: ribosomal RNA, 381 nt
Filed under: uncultured bacterium
Lineage: Bacteria
Description: bacterial SSU rRNA
Rfam family: Bacterial small subunit ribosomal RNA
Source: RNAcentral